GUUGUUGUUGCGAUGUUUCACUGUCCAGCCGCACGGUUCCUAUUGUGGCUGGGCAUCCUCGUUAUCCUGAAUAAACGUGCCCGUAGUCUUGAUAAUACGUCGAUUUUGCUUCUUGGGGCAAUUUCCAACUUUGUGGCCUUCUUCACCGCAAUACAAGCAUAGACCUUCUUCCAUACGCCGUUUUUUUUCUUCUAGAGUAAGGGAUUUGACACGUACCGCAUUAAUUUGCAUGUCUUCUACCUCUGAAUGUAAAUUCACGCUACUUAUCGACAUAGUUGGG
RNAcentral lists this long non-coding RNA (280 nucleotides) under Physcomitrium patens. RNAcentral's name for it is "long non-coding RNA (PPAT_LNC014053)". Lineage: Eukaryota; Viridiplantae; Streptophyta; Bryopsida; Funariales; Funariaceae. The record is from RNAcentral.